Molecule: transfer RNA, 72 nt
Filed under: Perkinsus olseni
Lineage: Eukaryota; Perkinsozoa; Perkinsida; Perkinsidae
Description: tRNA-Arg
Rfam family: tRNA
About the family: Transfer RNA (tRNA) molecules are approximately 80 nucleotides in length. Their secondary structure includes four short double-helical elements and three loops (D, anti-codon, and T loops). Further hydrogen bonds mediate the characteristic L-shaped molecular structure. tRNAs have two regions of fundamental functional importance: the anti-codon, which is responsible for specific mRNA codon recognition, and the 3' end, to which the tRNAs corresponding amino acid is attached (by aminoacyl-tRNA synthetases). tRNAs cope with the degeneracy of the genetic code in two manners: having more than one tRNA (with a specific anti-codon) for a particular amino acid; and 'wobble' base-pairing, i.e. permitting non-standard base-pairing at the 3rd anti-codon position.
Source: RNAcentral
GACCUUGUGGCGCAAUGGAAGCUCGUCGGUUUCCGGAGCCGAAGUUUGCGGGUUCAAGUCCCGCCAGGGUUG